ACGAACUGUGCAAACGUUAUUCGGAAUCACUGGGCUUAAAGGGUGCGUAGGCGGCCAGCUAAGCAGGGUGUGAAAGCCCCCGGCUCAACCGGGGAAUUGCGCCCUGAACUAGCGGGCUGGAGUGAGAUAGGGGUGUGCGGAACUUCCAGUGGAGCGGUGAAAUGUGUUGAUAUUGGAAGGAACGCCGGUGGCGAAAGCGGCACACUGGGUCUCAACUGACGCUGAGGCACGAAAGCCAGGGGAGCAAACGGGA
This 253-nucleotide ribosomal RNA is filed under the name uncultured prokaryote. Its description in RNAcentral is "partial 16S ribosomal RNA". It matches the Rfam family "Bacterial small subunit ribosomal RNA", at positions 525 to 777 of the family's 1533-position model. The record is from RNAcentral.